GUUAGGAAGAGUCGUCGGCUAGAGGCGAUUUGGCUGGCGUUGGAUCAGGCAAAAAUGGUUACCUGAUUAUCCCUCAUGUGCUGGAGCGCGUGAAGACAACAAAGGUGCGUCGACAGCGCGUGGCGGCUUCCGGCAAGGAUUACAGAGUCGGUUUUCUAGGGACUAAGUCGCCUGCGAUCAACUAAUCCUUUUAGGUGGGUGGUGUAGUCCACCUCCCUCUGGUAGGUGACCCACUAGAACGACAAUGGCGUUUGUUCUUCAAGCACAGAGAAGAGACGAAGUAGAAUUUCGAUCAGACCCUUUUUUUUUUAGGCUCUAAUACCA
RNAcentral lists this unclassified non-coding RNA (324 nucleotides) under Hevea brasiliensis (rubber tree). Lineage: Eukaryota; Viridiplantae; Streptophyta; Magnoliopsida; Malpighiales; Euphorbiaceae. The record is from RNAcentral.